GCUCAGCAGAGGAGCAAGCCCGAGCGCAUAAACGUUUUGCAAGCCUUUGCUUGCAUCGUGUUUGUUCACGUCCCGUUGGCCAAAGGAAGUCACAAGGCUCGGAGUCAGUGUGGGAGAACACUCGCAUGGAUCAUGGGUAGAAAAAGCAGCAUAAUUUGUGACCAUUUUUAUAAUCUACCACAGCAGCUAAACACAAGGGAUGACAUUUGUUUAAGGAAGAAAGAAUACGCUAUUGAUGGAAGAAACCGGGAGAAAAGACAAAAGCCUCCAAAACAGUGAGACUGAGCUUUUAGAAGGCUAAGAAACAAUUGCCUCUUUUGGCCAAUCCCAAGGAAAGGGGGUCCAUUCUGGGCCUAUGCAUCUCAUCACUUUCCAGCAUUUGCAGAGUGCACGACUACUAUGGGACAGCAUGUCAGCCAACAAAAGCGAACCACAGCAGCUCCACCGGCCGCCCCAUUUCUUUGGUGAAAAAUGCCAGUUAAGUCCUCUGGCUGAGCCAGGAGAAAACAAUGAUUCAACGCAAGGCCCUUCACUUCAGAAAACAUCGAUACCAGACUCAAUAAACCCUUAUAAGAUCAAACAUUUUUGUGGUUCACAAGCACUGAAAGAGCAGUCCAUCUGUCUCCACAUGCCAGGCCUGGCUCCUUUCAAUUCAUUCUUCAAACUGUAGCCAGAAGAUGUGAACUCCGUUUUGUUAUUUUUGGUGUUAUUGCAGUGUCUAGCAUUGUGUUUAGUAAUAAUUAGAGGUAAAUAAAUGUUUAAGUAUUGA
Molecule: long non-coding RNA, 769 nt
Organism: Neofelis nebulosa (Clouded leopard)
Lineage: Eukaryota; Metazoa; Chordata; Mammalia; Carnivora; Felidae
Exons: 3
Source: RefSeq, a predicted model, not a curated record